This is a long non-coding RNA of Dendronephthya gigantea, 337 nucleotides long. RefSeq lists it as uncharacterized. The record is from RefSeq and is a predicted model, not a curated record. The transcript has 3 exons. NCBI's taxonomy places the organism in Eukaryota, Metazoa, Cnidaria, Anthozoa, Malacalcyonacea, Nephtheidae.
GUUGAUAUUCCUUCUUACGAAGAAUAUGAGACGAUGUGUUUGUUCCAUAACCAUUGGAGUACAACAUAUGAAGACCUGAAACUACUUCGUCGUAACAGCAGACGCGUAGAAAAUCACGCUAAGCAAGGAUUCUUGACGUUUGGGGCUCAUUGGAAUAGAAGACGUAAUACUUGCGAGAUUGCAGAUUGUUUCUUCGGGGAAGGACGUAGAUAUGUACCUUAAUUGACCGAACUAGACUAUCAGUACGUUUAAAUUUAAUAUUUAAGUUUUAUCUAUUUUUUUAUACAACCAGAUUCAGCUGUAAAUUUUACGUACAAUAAAAUAAGGACAAGAUAUU